Molecule: ribosomal RNA, 4018 nt
Filed under: Pseudocercospora fuligena
Lineage: Eukaryota; Fungi; Ascomycota; Dothideomycetes; Mycosphaerellales; Mycosphaerellaceae
Description: large subunit ribosomal RNA
Rfam family: Bacterial large subunit ribosomal RNA
Source: RNAcentral
GUAAAAUUUUAUCGAUUUUAUUGUAAAAAAAUCGAUAUGAAGUAUAUAAAGAAACUAUUAUGGAUGAAUUGCUAUGUAUCAUAAAGAAAUAUUAUAAAUCAACUAGUUUUGAUAAAAACAUUGUUAAUUUAUUUUAACAAAUGUAAAUCUAGGAUAAAUCCAACUUUUUAACGAAGUGAAUUGAAAUAUCUUAUUAACUUCAGGAAAAAAAAUCAAAUGAGAUUAUUCUUCACCUAAAAAAUGAAAGAUAAAAGUCUUUAAAGUAAAAUGGAAAUAAUCUGUUUGAAUAUAGGGAAACCUUUCUCUAAGACUAAAUAAUGAUAUAGCAUACAUGAUAAGCAACAGAACAUUAGUACCGUAAGGGAAAUAUCUGAAAUAGUAGUUUUAUAAGCAGCUCAAAUUUAAAUUCAAAAAUGAACGAGAGCGUACCUUUUGCAUAAUGGGUCAGCAAGUUAAUAUUAGAUGCGAGAUUACUUUUUUCUUUUUAAGAAAAAUCUUAUCCCAGAUAAACCAAUUAUUAAAUAAUGAAUAAGUAUCUAGUAUUAGACCCGAAGCCUAGUGAUCUUACCAUGAUCAGGGUUAUAAAAGCUCGAACAGGUUAUCGUUGUAAAGAUAUCUGAUGAAUUGUGGUAAGUUAGUGAAAGACAAAACUGACUAGGAUAGCUGGUUUUCCGCGAAACCUAUAUAAGUAGGUAGUUUAAAAGUUAUCAUUUUUUUUUUAUUACUAAAAUGAGUAACGUUAAUAGAUACAGGGAUGAAUAAUUUUUAGUAAUUUAGCUCGAAAAAAUUAAUCUUUAGUUUAUAUAUAAAUUAUAAGAUGUGUGUACACUGUAAGUUUGUAAUUCUAUAAUAAAGCCAACAUAUGAUAUUUAUGUUAUAAGAAUUCGGGUAUGAGAAAGUCUGUCGCUUAAGUUUAUCAAAAACUUAAGAAAGUGAUUUGUUAUUACUAGAUCGGAUUAGCUAAUAAAAUAAAAUAAAAAAAAAACUCUGUUAAAUACUGAUAUAAUUCUAUUUAUUGUAAAUAUAUACCUUAUUAUUAUACAUACGGAUAAAACUAGUUAUCUUGAAAAUCAUUGCGUUACCCACCGUAGUAUAUAAAUAAAAAAAUGAUAAUUACAUCGUUGCAGGUACAGAAUUGUGAUCUCAGACAAAUUUUGAUUUAAAGCAUUGUUUAAUAAACAUGCAAAAUCUGUUUGUAUACAUUGGGGGAUCGUGAAGAUUUUAUCAGUGAGGAUUUGCUCUCGGAAGGGCAACGAUGAAUAUUAAACUGUCGGACAUAGUACGAUAAGGUUGUAUGUCUAAAGGGAAACAGCCCAGAACAAGAGUUAAAGGUUCCAAAAUUAUUGUUAAGUGAAAUUAAGGUAGUUUUUUUCAAAUACAACCAGGAAAUAGGCUUAGAAGCGGCCAUUUUUUAAAGAUCUCGUAACAGAGCACUGGUUUAUUAUAAAAGUUAAACGCACCGAAGAUAUAACGGAUCUAAAACAGUAUACCGAAACCUUGUACAUAAUUAAAACUAAGAUAAUGAGUUAUUUUAUUGCAAAAUAAAGUAAUGUUAAUAUAAAUAUAUAUUUAAACAACUCUAUUGAUAUUGUUAAAAUCAUUAACAGUUAUAUUUAUGGGGUAGCGGAACGUUGGGUUAAUUCUUAGAAUUUAUAUCCUUGAUAUAAAUUAUCUUUAUAGUGAAUUUUUACCAUAAAUAAUGGUAAAAUCUUUAUAGUGAAUUUUUACCAUAAAUAAUGGUAAAAUCGUUAAAAAAAGACUAUCCCAAGUGAUAAUGCUGACAUGAGUAACGAAAAAGGGUAACCCCCUCGCCUUAAGCUUAUGGUAUUUGCACAGCAGCAUUAAAGUAACGGCCCCUAAGUUUAUAAACCUUUCCUAAAGGAUUAAAUGAUGGGUAAAUCUCGCGUAUAUUUAACAUUUAUGAGUAUUUACUACAUAUCCAUAAUUAAUUUAUGAGUUUGUGUACAAGAAAAAGUGAUAAAUGUUCUGGAAAAAAUAUAUGCUGGUAUUUUUAUAUAUUGUAUUGACCGUACCUAGACACUACCACAAGUAAGCAAGUAGAGAAUACAAAGGCGUUUGAGAUAACAAUCAUUAAGGAACUCGGCAAAUUGACUCCGUAACUUCGGGAUAAGGUGUGCCAUUAUUAUUAAGUAAUAAGAGGAGACAUAAAAUGGUGUUGUACGACUGUUUAAUUAAAACAAAGCACUUUGCAUAAGAUAAUAAAUCAAAGUAUUGAGUGUGAUUUCUGCCCAAUGUUGGCUGGUUAACGAAUUUUCUUAGUCAAAUAACACUAGGCUAGGUUUUGAAGGAACCCCCAAUCAAUGGCGGCCUUACCGAUGAGGGUCCUAAGGUAGCGGAAUACCCUGGCCGUUAAAUGCGGUCUUGCAUGAAUGAUUUAACGAUACAACAGCUGUCUCAAUGAUUGUCUCAGUGAAAUUGGAAUAACUGUGCAGAUACAGUUUUCUUCUAGUUAGACGAGAAGACCCUAUGCAGCUUUACUGUUGCUAGUUAUUGAAUAUAAUAAGACAAGUUGUAGUAUAUAAGGUUAUUGAUAAGAUAGAAGUGAAAUACCUUUACUUAGUCUAUUAUAUUGUUGAAAUUAGGAUUAUUAUAGGUAGAUUUGAAGUUAAAACUUCAUACUUACUAUAGGUAGAUACUAUUAAGAAUCACCGUAAAGGAAGAGUUCUAGUUUGACUCAUAUAUGGAUAUUAAUUUAGAUGUGGUAGUUCCAUAUAACCUGAGUGACUGUUUUAGCUUCAGUGGAGAAAGCGGAAUCAUUGGAGGGGUAGCACCUCGCCAUUUGCCUACGAUUUCUCGCCAUUGGCCUAAAUAAAACUUAAAAAAGAUUCAUCCUCUUUUUUAACUAAAAUAAGAGGUACCUCGUGGUAAACUAUCACGGAUAAAACAGCAUUCCUAGGGGAAAAAGUGAUUAUGUAGGGUAGUACUUGAAGUAAUAUAUUUUAAUAUUCAAACGCUUAUCUUAAAGAUAAAUAGUUUUGCAGUUAUCUUAUAAUCUAGUAAGAAUAAUAUUGCAUUUAUUUAGGAAACAUUAGCUAGUGGACAGUUUAUGCGGGGCACAGAUCCCAUAAAAAGUACCUGGGUGUAUCCAAAGUUAAAAUUGUAAAUUCAUUAAAAUUUCUUAAUGAUUUUGUCUUGUUUUUAUUGUGUUUAUAACCAUUGAAUAUAAGACACUAUUUUUACUUUGUAAUAGAUUAUUUUAUGAUUUAUUCACUUAUAUUUCUAUUAAGUUAGAUUAAUUAUAUUUUUUUAAGUAAGGUUUUAACUAUAUGGAAAAUAGAUGUUUAACUUGUCUUUAUUAUCAAUUAAAGAUAAAAAAGAUGAUUUUUAAUAUUUACUGUUAAAGUUUAAUGGCUUAACCUUGCUUUACUGUUUGACUUACAUGUCUAUCAGUCGCGUAAGCGGGGCAUACGAUCACAAGAUGCAGAAAGGAAAGGUCUUGGAUUUUUGAAAAAAGCUACGCUAGGGAUAACAGGCUAAUUGCGCCAGAGAGUACAAAUUGAGUGCGCAGUUUGGCACCUCGAUGUCGGCUUAGCUCAUCCACAUGAAUGCAGGAAUCAUGAAGGGUACGACUGUUCGUCGGUUAAAGAGCUACACGAGCUGGGUUAAAUACGUCGUGAGACAGUAUGGUUUCUAUCUUCUAGAAGUAAUUAGAGUAAAACAAGGAUAGCCCCUUCGUACGAAAGGAGUUGGGUAUGGUAACCUCUGGUUUAUUUGUUGUCUAUUUUAGGUAAGUCCGUGUUAUAUCGUAUAAACCUUGCAAAAGGUCUUACGAUAAACCGGCACUAUUAUUAUUUUUAUCUUAAAUAUGUUUUUUUAGGCACAGCAAUAAAGCUACGUUAGUCAUAAAUAAGUGCUGAAUGCAUAUAGGCACGAAGUUUGUCUUGAGAUACUCUUAAAUAUACGUAAUACAAUAUUACGAAUCGUAAACUUGCGAUUGUAUAGGUUUUGCUUUAAAGGAUUUUAAUUUCUUCAGAUACAAAAUACUAAUUUUAUUAAA